This 305-nucleotide ribosomal RNA is filed under the name uncultured bacterium. RNAcentral describes it as "bacterial SSU rRNA". It matches the Rfam family "Bacterial small subunit ribosomal RNA", at positions 338 to 660 of the family's 1533-position model. The record is from RNAcentral.
CCUACGGGAGGCAGCAGUGGGGAAUAUUGCACAAUGGGGGAAACCCUGAUGCAGCAACGCCGCGUGAAGGAAGACGGUUUUCGGAUUGUAAACUUCUGUUCUUAGUGAAGAAGAAUGACGGUAGCUAAGGAGCAAGCCACGGCUAACUACGUGCCAGCAGCCGCGGUAAUACGUAGGUGGCAAGCGUUGUCCGGAAUUACUGGGUGUAAAGGGAGCGUAGGCGGGAUGGCAAGUUGGGUGUUAAAUCUACCGGCUCAACUGGUAGUCGCACUCAAAACUGCUAUUCUUGAGUGAAGUAGAGGCAG